Molecule: ribosomal RNA, 445 nt
Filed under: uncultured bacterium
Lineage: Bacteria
Description: partial 16S ribosomal RNA
Rfam family: Bacterial small subunit ribosomal RNA
Source: RNAcentral
GUGAGGAAUAUUGGUCAAUGGGCGGGAGCCUGAACCAGCCAAGUCGCGUGAAGGAAGAAGGAUCUAUGGUUCGUAAACUUCUUUUGCAGGGGAAUAAAGUGCAGGACGUGUCCUGGUUUGUAUGUACCCUGAGAAUAAGGAUCGGCUAACUCCGUGCCAGCAGCCGCGGUAAUACGGAGGAUCCGAGCGUUAUCCGGAUUUAUUGGGUUUAAAGGGUGCGUAGUUGGAUUGAUAAGUCAGCGGUGAAAGUUUGCAGCUUAACUGUAAAAAUGCCGUUGAAACUGUCGGACUUGAGUGUAAAUGAGGUAGGCGGAAUGCGUGGUGUAGCGGUGAAAUGCAUAGAUAUCACGCAGAACUCCGAUUGCGAAGGCAGCUUACUAAGCUACAACUGACACUGAAGCACGAAAGCGUGGGGAUCAAACAGGAUUAGAAACCCUUGUAGUCC